CGGAAGUCUACUGGACGAAUGCGGCAACGUUGCGAUAUUUCCUGCUUAAUAUUUUCAGAUAUGGGAAAAGCACUUAAGAUGACCCCACGUUUCAGGAACGUUAAAAUUAAGUUGGUGAGGAGGUCUAUUGCGGGCCCUGCAAAGUUUUCUUACCUCAGUCAAGGUCUUCCCCAGCCCAGCUACAAACAGACCCACUCUUGAGACGCUUCUAUUACAUCUCAACCGGCUGAACCUGAUGAUGCGACACCGAGCUGUUCUGAGAGUGCAUACAGUAAGGCAAAGAAGAGAGAGCUUCAUGCCUGGGAUGCAGUCAAGGAUGAGAUGCUUAAGGUGUCGUUUGAAUGUUCAGCAUCAGUCACUACCCAGUGUGUUGUCUGCCGAGAACAUGCUGAUUAUAGGUGCAUUGAGUGCAGCUCCACUGCAGUGUUUUGUGAGGUUUGCCUGAAGAGGAUUCACAGAAAUUUACUGCAUCUUCCUGAAAAGUGGAAUGCAAGAACAAUAGCAUACAGUCUUACAUUGCUAUUGCUAUACUUGCAUACAGACAGCAAACUCACAAGUGUUUACUAUGAGCCAUCCUCCCUGGGGUUAUUCUUAUAUUUACCUGAAGCCCAUGGCACCCAUGCUGUGUACACAAAGGACAUGAAGGUCAUUGUCAGCACAGGACGGCUCUGCACCGUUACAGACACCAUGUGUGCGUGUGAACCAGAAACCUGUACUCUGCUGAGAUAUGGGCUCUGACCAGCAACAGCCCACAAGCCCCAGACAGACAGCCUUCUCCAUCCCUCUGCUAGAGCUUUCUGUUUCUCUGUCACUGGAGUGUCAGGUUUCUGUUGAGGGUUUUUGCAACACCCCAUAUGCCAUUUUGGCAUCACCACUUCCGACAAAGAAGUUUGGUUGAUAUUUGCCCACAGUUAAAUGAUGGAACCAUAUGCCCAGCAUGUCCAAAGGCAGAUGGAGAUAUGAUUGUCACAUUGGAUGCAAACUUUGGCCUUGUGAGGAAGCAAAGCUCAGUACAAGUGCGGUUGAUCCAUUACACGGAACCCGCAUGUUUAGAGGAAUACCUGCUAUCACAUCUUGACAGCUCAAAGCCUCAAGAGGACUGCAGUAAGCUGCUCUCAUUCAAGGUCUCCAACAGCUGGAAAGAAAACGACAUCAAGCCACUGUGAUGUUUCACCCACAUGUACCAGACAUUAUAGACAUAUAAUAUAAAAUAAUUAUGAUAUA
Molecule: long non-coding RNA, 1224 nt
Organism: Carassius auratus (goldfish)
Lineage: Eukaryota; Metazoa; Chordata; Actinopteri; Cypriniformes; Cyprinidae
Exons: 6
Source: RefSeq, a predicted model, not a curated record